GACAGAGGUGGCAAGCGUUGCUCGGAAUUACUGGGCUUAAAGGGUGUGUAGGCGGUUGGGUAAGCAUUUUGUGAAAGCCCUGGGCUCAACCCAGGAAUGGCAGGAUGUACUGCCCAACUUGAGGCGCGUAGAGGUCACUGGAACUCUGGGUGGAGCGGUGAAAUGCGUAGAUAUCCAGGGGAACGCCAAUGGCGAAGGCAGGUGACUGGGCGUGUCCUGACGCUGAGGCACGAAAGCGUGGGGAUCAAACGGG
This 253-nucleotide ribosomal RNA is filed under the name uncultured bacterium. RNAcentral's name for it is "partial 16S ribosomal RNA". It matches the Rfam family "Bacterial small subunit ribosomal RNA", at positions 524 to 776 of the family's 1533-position model. The record is from RNAcentral.